Molecule: long non-coding RNA, 9702 nt
Filed under: Ricinus communis (castor bean)
Lineage: Eukaryota; Viridiplantae; Streptophyta; Magnoliopsida; Malpighiales; Euphorbiaceae
Description: long non-coding RNA (RCOM_LNC002332)
Source: RNAcentral
AGGCUGUCGCGUGCCUAUAAAAAAUAACCUAACUAGACCUUCUAACUAUGUAGUUCGGCAAGCAAGGGUCGAAUCCCUAGAGACUGAAGUAGUAAAAACUAGCUAAUCUUGACUUUAAUUAAUGCUAAGUAAUUACCAAAUCAACGAUUAAGGAUGAAUUAAUCUAUAAUGCAAAUAAUAAUAAUGAGAAUAAAUUCUAGGAUAAAAAGCACCUAGAGUUAAGUAUCCCCACUGGCACAAUUUACGCAAAGAUAAGUUUCUACCCCAAACUAAUUAAAUAAAUGUUCAUAAGGAAAGGUAAACCCUAUAAAAUACCAUAGAUCUCUCUAGAGUAUAAAUGGCUUCCCUAAUAUGCAAUCAAAACCUACUCCCGUGGAAUCAUGCAAAUUAAAAACAUUAAACUCAAUACCCUGACUUCCUAACAAUCCAUUCUACCUACUCCCGUGGAGAAUUUCAUGUCCUUAAUUGAAAUAUUCAAAUCCGUUAAAACCCAACUCCCGUUGUGAUAAAGACAAUGGAAUCAUAACAAUACUAAUUAUCCCUAAUCUAGUAUUGGAAUAUGCACAAUCAAUUAAGCAAGAGCAAUUAAAUAAUUAAUUUAGGGAAUUAAAGGAACAAAUCAUAUAUCAUUCAUGGCUAGGGUUCACUUAACCCUAGAUUAGAAAACUACUCACUCAUGAUAGUUAAAUAAACAAAAUAGAUUAUAAAAGAAAAUAUAAUUAAUAACAGCUUAAAAAGGAAAAGGAAAAUACUUGGAUUGAUAAUUGAAUGAUGAGGUCUUUGAUAAAUCUUCAAAGCACAAAGAAAAGUAACAUAAAAUAGAGAAAGAAAACAAACUAAGGAGAAAAGAAGGAAGGGGGGCUCUCCUGUCAGGUUCUUUUCACCAUCUAUCUAUAUCAUAGGAUAUCCAGGAGUUUGGCUAGAUUUUCACCCUAAAAAUUCGACUAGACAGGUGUCCAAACGCAGUUUUGCAGCUCCAGCCACGGGCAGGCCGCGAGCAGGGGGCAGAGUGGACUGUUUCUUUGCUUUAUCAUUGGCCUUGGAAGCCAAGUCGCGGAGUAGCCACGGGAUAGCUUCCCUUGCUCGUUUCACGAUAUAAGAUUCUCCUAGGCAUGAGUAUCUCUUUGACAUCUUGUUUGACCAUGAACGACUCUACAAACAUCCUCGCCAACACCUAGCAACUCGAGCCAAUCCCUACAAAAACAAAAUAAAACGAACCGGAGGAGAGAAAUAUCGAAAAUAACGAAUAAUAGCUCUAAAAGAUUAGAAAUGCGCAGAUAACAUAAAGAACAACGUAUAUAUAUAGCAUAUAAAAUGCGUAUAUUAUUGCGUUAUCAAAUUUCCCCACAUUUAACCUUUACUCGUCCUCGAGGAAACAAAAUAAAAAUAAGAAAAACUAUACUAAUAAAGCAAUAAAAUCCUAACUCACUAUCGUAGGAAUCACGAUUGCACUUAGCAUGUGCAACAAGCCCUUUAAACGCCUAGGUUCCCCUAGCGGACGAGUAAGGUCUCGUGAAGGUUUUCAAAAUGGCAUACCUACAAACCCGAAUAAUGAACAUCCAAACCAAUAAAUUCAAUCAAGUAACAAUAAUGAAAACUUAAAAUCAUUUCAGGAAAUAUGUUAAAGUCACAAAUCAACGAACAUGGAAUGAAACAGUAAGUCGAUAACACCCUUCAAUGGCCAACUAAUCUUACCGCUUCCUUUCCCUAACUCAGUCAUAUGCAUGUAGCUUCUCACUUUAGUUCUAUAAAAGAAAACAAAUUGAGUCUCUCAUGUGUUUAAAAAGGUAGCAGCAUGAUCACUCGACCUAUUUCACGUCGACACUUUUGUAGUCUUCCUCUUUAGCCUUGCCUUUCGUCUUUCUCAACUUUUUUUGGGAUGGCACAAACACUAGGGUCAUGAGUUUCUUGUACUAGGGUAGGCUUGUUUAAAAUAGGGUAAGACAACAUUAUUUGGGGAUGUAGUGCUCAAAUCCUAAUAAAAGAAAAUAAAAUUUACUCCGACCAACACAACUAUUUCCAAAUGUUAGGUUCAUUCUCCUCUUUUUUUUUUUUGGUAUAUCGGGAAACUAUGUGCUUCUUUCCGAACUUUUUCACUUAUUCUUCUCUUUUUUUUUUCUUUUUUUUUUUUGUAUAUCGGGAAAUUAUGUGCUUCUUUCUAGAACUUUUCACUUUUUUUUUUUGAAAAUAAACUAACACUUUAUUUGAGUAACAAACUUUGUAACUUUUCUUUCGUAUCAGAAUCUCCAUAUUAACAUAUAAAGCACACAUUGUAGUAGCAUAUUCCGCAAAAUCCAAACAAAACCUACAAAAGGGCUCUAAGGCAUGUAAUGUAGGGCGUCAAGAAAUGGGAUCGAAGCUCAAUAUGGUUCAACCUAGAGGGGAAUGUAAAAUAAAAAGAAAAAGGAGCGAAUAAUCCUAAUCCUAAAAUUUGAGGCUCUAACUACCUAAAGAAAUCUUUAGUCAUCCCCCCACAUGCGUGUCACAAAAUCUCGAAUAGAACCAAGGCAAUUCCAAGAAUCGUACUACAUAAGAGGAAAAUAUUUAAUCACACGUGAAAAACAGAGACUGAUUCAGAUGUGUCAGUCUAUAUGGCUCAAAUUCCUCACAAGUUACUCAAGAUACAUGCAUUAGUCGAGUCAGGGCCCGGAAGAUAAUUCUAGCCACAACCCAUUGCCAAGAAAGGAUUUACAUAUCAUUACCGAAUUAUUCAAUCCAGUGUCAAUCAACUCAUGACAAGAACUAUAGAAAAAUAUUUUUUCUUUUGAAAUUACUUGCUUCAUAAAUUGGUUUGGAAUGUUCAAAUUUUUUUUUUUUUCGUUUCUUUAUUCUUUAGCAACACCAAAAAGAAAAUAAUACAUACACUAAUACCCUCCCCCACACUUAAAUGUUGCAAAGUCCUCAGUGCAAAAGCAAAAUAUAAACAUAAGUAAAAGGGAGGGGUACUCAUAAAAUCUCACUAAAGAGGAGGGAUCGAAAACCCUUGUGACUUCAUCCAAGUAUUUAGAUUCUCCAAAGCGAAUUUGGUUGAAGUCUAGUUGAAUCGAGCAUAAAAAAUCCAGCAGAUUGUUCACGACCAGGCUGCAAUGAUUAUGGGUGCAUCGCGUCCAUCCCGUGGAGUAGACUGGUUGUCUCCUUUUUCAGGUGUGAGGUCACGGUCCGGCAGUGGCUCGAGAUAUCAGGUCGCGACCUUGCUGUGGAGUGGACUGCCUCGUGUCCUGUUUUAUUUUGAGAGCCGCGGGUUACCUGUGGUUGAGAGUAGUCGGCCGCGAGGUGGUGGUGGACUAGACUACCUUCAUUCUCCCGCUUCCCCCCUUUUUUUCUCUUCUUUUUCUGGCUAAUUUGGUGAGGGCAUGAGUACCUAUUUAAAAAAAUGAAAUGAAAGAAAUAAAACUAGAAUAAGGCUUAAGCUAAAACAAAUUAAGUAAAAGAAAAAAAAACACAACACACAAAACAAAGCAAAAUAAAAGAAGACAAAAAGUCAAAGUUUUAAGUCCUAAGAAAAUUAAUUUUGUACCAAAAUGCUUGCAUAAAACAAAAAAUUAUUUUUAUGAUUUUAUUUUUCUAAUUUAAUUUAUUUAUUUAUUUUAUAAAUGCAAAAUGUAAGUAAAUAAAGUAAAGUAUGAGUAAAAAGAAAAUUGAAAAUAAAAAUAAAAAUUAGGAAUGAGUUUGGGGUGCCUCCCAAGAGUGCUUGUUUAUAAGGUCAUAAGUUCGACCUCCUUUGCGAUUCAUUCCGAUGAAGGGUCGGAAAGUGUGAUAUCCACACUCUCGUCAAUAAGGUCACCGACUCUGUAAUGUUUCACUCUUUGACCAUUCACCUUGAAAGUACCAUUUUGUCUGUUCCAAAGCUCUAUUGAACCAUCCUGACCAUCGAGAACAAAGUUUUCCAGGAAAGGGUUUUAAUCUAGAGUUAAAAAGGAGAACUAAGUCGCCUUCCUUAAACUCUCUUCUCAAAAUCCCUUUGUCAUGCCAUCUUUUAGUCUUUUCUCCUUGUACAACUUUGAACUUUCAUAAGCAUCAAGUCGAAUCUCUUCUAGCUCAUUAAGUUGCAGGAGUCUUUUCUCACCGGCCAUUUGAAAGUCGAAAUUUAGGCUCUUGAUAGCCCAAAAUGCACAAUGAUCUAAUUCAAUAGGAAGAUGACAUGCUUUCCCAUAGACUAGUCGAUAUGGAGUGGUGCCAAUAGGGGUCUUAAAUGAAGUCCUAUAAGCCCAUAGUGCAUUGUCGAGUUUCACGGACCAAUCUUUCCUUGAAUUUGCAACCGUCUUCUCCAAGAUGGUUUUGAUCUCUCGGUUAGAAAUCUCUACUUGACCACUACUUUGUGGGUGAUAUGAAAGCCCCACUCGAUGAUGUACUUCAUACUUCUUAAGCAUCGCCUUAAAUCGAUUCUCCAAGAAAUGCUUGCCUCCAUCACUAAUCAACACUUGUGCUACACCAAAUUGAGAAAAAAUAUUCCUUUUAAAGAACUUGCUUACCAUGCGAGCAUCAUUGGUUGGAGUAGUUAUGGCUUCGACCCACUUUGAGACAUAAUCCACAGCAACCAAGAUAUACCUAUUCCCAUAAGAAGCAGGGAACAGUCCCAUGAAAUCUAUUCCCCACACAUCGAACGAUUCCACCUCGAGGAUGUUAUUAAAAGGGAUUUCAUUCCUCUUAGAGAUGUUACCAGUUCGUUGACAUCGAUCACAAGACUUAACAUGUUGAUCAACAUCCUUGAAAAGACUUUAGCCAAUAAAAACCACACUGAAGAAUCUUUGCUGCAGUCUUAUUAGUGCCAGCGUGUCCUCCACAUGGCAAAUCGUGACAAUGUGAAAUAAGGAAUGGCACCUCACUUUUUGAAAUACACCUUCUAGUCAUCCCAUCAGCACAAGAUUUGUAAAGAAAAGGGUCGUCCCAAAAAUGUCUCCUCACAUCUUUAAAGAAUUUCUUCUUUUGUUGUAAUGAAUAGCCGUGAGGAAUAGUACCACUGGCCAAGUAGUUUGCUAUAUCAACAUACCAUGUGAUUUCAUUAAUAGCUAGAGCUAGAAGUUGCUCAUCAGAAAAUGAAUCAUCGAUGGGGGAAUCCUCAUCACCUUCACCAUCAAGGACAAGUCAGGAGAGAUGAUCAGCAAUAACAUUUUCGGCUCCUUUCUUGUCCUUAAUUUCCAAGUCAAAUUCUUGUAACAACAAAAUCCACUGAAUCAAGUGAAGUUUAGCAUCUUUCUUACUCAUCAAAUACCUCAAUGUUGCGUGAUCCGUGUGAACUAUCACCUUUGAUCCAACCAGAUAGGACCGAAACUUCUCCAUUGUAUACACCACUGCCAACAAUUCCUUCUCAGCUGUGGCAUAGUUCAUCCGGGCCGAAUCAAGAGUUUUGCUCGUGUAGUGGAUGGCAUGGAGCUUGCCAUCUUUCCUCUGGCCCAACGCUGCCCCAACUGCAUAGUCCCUGGCAUCGCACAUGAUUUCAAAUGGAAGAUUCCAGUCUGGCGAUUGCAUGACUGGAGCAGAUAUAAGAGCUUGCUUUAACCUGUCAAAAGCCUCAAUACAAACAUCAGUAAAAACAAAGGAAACAUCCUUGCCUAAGAGCUUAGUUAGAGGUCAAGCAAUUUUUGAAAAGUCCUUGAUAAAACAGCGAUAAAACCCCGCAUGACCAAGAAACCUCCUUACUCCUUUUAUAGAAUUAGGCGGUGGUAAACUCUUAAUGACCUCUAUCUUAGCCCUGUCAACUUCGAUGCCCCUAUGAGAAGCAACAUGACCCAAAACGACACCCUGUUGUACCAUGAAAUGGCAUUUUUCCCAAUUGAGAAUUAGGUUGACUUCUUUACAUCUAUGGAGCACCCCUUCCGAAUUAUUAAGGCAAGCAUCAAAAGCUGUUCCAUAGACUGAGAAGUCAUCCAUAAAAACUUCCAUAGAACUCUCAAUAAGACCUGAGAAAAUUGCCAUCAUGCAUCGUUGAAAAGUGGCAGGAGCAUUACAUAAUCCAAAUGUCAUUCUUCGAUAAGCGAAGGUGCCAUAAGGGCAGGUAAAAGUAGUCUUUUCCUGAUCGUCAGGAUGAAUAGGAAUUUGGAAAAACUCUGAGUAUCCAUCUAGCCAACAGAAAAAGGAAUGCUUUGCCAAUCUUUCUAACAUUUAAUCAAUAAACAGGAGAGGGAAGUGGUAUUUUCAGGUGGCUUUAUUUAAUUUCCUAUAAUCAAUGCACAUUCGCCACCCUGUCACAGUUCUAGUGCGGAUUUGUUCACCCUUGUCAUUCUUGACAACGGUCAUACCUCCCUUCUUUGGAACCACUUGUACAGGACUAACCCACUUAUUAUCUGAGAUAUGGUAAAUUAUCCUUGCAUCAAGCAAUUUAAGAACCUCCUUUUUGACUACUUCCAUCAUAUUUGGAUUAAGCCUUCUUUGAGAUUCUAUAGAAGAUGUAUGGUCGUCCUCAAGAUUGAUCUUAUGCAUGUAGAAAGAUGGGUUAAUACCCUUAAUAUCAUCAAUAGUGUACCCAAUGUCAUUCCUGUAUUUUCUCAAAAUCACAAACAUUUGCUCAGUUUGCAUGUCAUUGAGUUCGGCAUUAACAAUAACAGGGUAUGUCUUAUUAGGACCCAUAAACACAUAUUUCAGGUUAAAGGGAAGGGGUGUUAAUUCUACCUCAGGAGGCGUAGUACUCUCCUUAGACUCCCUUGGUUUUAACACUUCCUUGAUAGGCUCAUCAGCUUCUAGCACUUGUGUCUCCUCCAAGAGCCUCUUGUACUCCCUUGUUUCCCAAUCCUAUUUAUCUGCACUCCCUAUUAAGAUUGUCUACAAUGAAUCAUCGAGUUGUAAAUCUGCGGCCUUAGCUUCCACUACUUCAUCUAGAGCAUCCAUGCUAUAAAUUGUUUCCUCCUUAGAAGGAAAACCCAUAGAACUUGUGAGCGAAUACUCCACCUUCUCAUCACCCACUUCAAAGGUGAUUUUCUCAUUCUUUAUGUCAAUAGUGGCCCCAGCAGUGGCCAAGAAGGGUCUUCCUAGAAUGAUAGGAACUUGCUCAUCUUCUUCCAUUUCCAUAACCACAAAAUCACAAAGGAUGAAGAAUUUCCCAACUCUAAGUGGCACAUCCUCAAGAAUACCCAAAGGAAAUUUCACUGAUCUGUCUACCAACUGUAAGGAGAUGCUCGUGGGUUUUAAUUCACCCAUCUGAAAGUUUCUUGCAAAUUGAUAGGGGCAUAAGACUGACACUUGCCCCUAUAUCACAUAAAGCCUUCUUUAUUUCGAUGUCACCUAGCUUGAUUGGAAUGGAAUAGCUCCCUGGAUCUCCUAGCUUCUUUGGAAGCUUGUUUUGCAAUAUAGCACUGCAUUCAGCUAUUAGUGAGAUUGUUGCACUGCAUUCAGCUAUUAGUGAGAUUGUUGCAUUCUCUUCGAUUUUCCUCUUGUUAGAGAGCAUGUCCUUCAGAAAUUUAGCAUAGGAGGGCAUCUCUGAGAUUGCAUCCAAGAAUGGGAUGUUGAUCUGCAACUUCUUUAGAAUGUCCAAGAAUUUCCCAUACUUCUUUUCUAGCUUUGCCUGUGCCAAUCGUUGUGGGAAAGGUACAAGUGGCUUGUAAGGUUUAAUGACAAUGGGCUCCUUCUCUUCAAUUUUCUUCUUUUCUAUCAUCUUCUCAGCUUCAACCAUCUCUUCAUCUACUGCAACUGCUUUCUUUUGAACUACCUUCGGUGGAAGGUCUUCUAGCUUUCUACCUUCGGUGGUUGCUCGGUGUUACUAGGAAAGUGACCCAGAACCUUUGAAGAUUGACCUACUUGUUGAGCAAGUUGGCUUAUCUGAUUCUCCGUGAGCUUGGUUUGAGCUUGAAUCUGUUGAACUGUAGUAGUAAGAAGACUAUUCUGUUUCAACUGCUUUUCCCAAUACUUGUCUUGUUUAGCCUGUGAGGCUGCAAAAGUUUCAACCAAAGCUUCUAGAUUGGACUUGGGUUGUGGUUGUGGUUGUAGUGGGGGAGGCUGUUGAUUGUAGUUUUGAUGAUUGAAGGGUGGUCUAUUUUGAAAACCUGGAGGAUGAUUGAAGUUGUUGCGAGAUGGUGGUGGUAGUGGUGGGUUCAACUGAUUUUGAGUGUUCUUGUAAGAGAAUGCUGGGUUUUGUUUCCAACCUUCAUUGUAAGUGUUGGAGUAGGGAUCAUAGGGUCUCCUUUGCUGGUUGUUGUUAUAGAGAGCGUUAGCUUGCUCCAUUAACAUCUCAGCAUAUUGACACUCACUUGAAAUGUGUCCAUGUACUCCACAUGUCUCACAAGAUGCUACCAUAGAUGGCCCUGGUCGAAGUUGAUCAACCUUAAGUGACAGAGCCUACACAGUACUAGUCAAGAGUCAUUGCAUCAACGUCAUGUUUACCCCCUUUUUUUGCACUGUUUCUCCCACCUGAGUGAAAGUUAUCAUUAGCAGCCAUCUUCUCAAGUAAUGCCUUAGCCUCAGUAGGGACCUUUUCAACAAAAUUACCACCCGACGCAGCGUCAAUGUAAAUCCUAUACUCAUGUGUCAACCCAUUAUAGAAUGUCUGAAUCAAUAGCCACUCUUGAAUUCCAUGAUGAGGGCACUUUCUCUGCAGACGCUUGAACUCAUACAAUGACUCAUCAUCUAGUUGACGAAGAGUGCUCAACUCGGUCCUUAGCCUUGCAGUUUUCUCUUGACCCAAGAAUUUGGCCAAAAAUGCCUUUACUAGCUUGUCCCAUGAAUCAAAAGUAUCGAUGCCUUCAUCUUUUAGCCAUUCCUUUGCCCUAUCCCUCAGAGAAAAAGGAAAAAAGCGAAGUCUAAUUGCAUCAUCACUUACAUUAUUAAUCUUAAAAGUGUCACACUUCUCUAGAAAACUAUCAAUAUGAUUAACAGGACAAUCAUUGACUCCCCCUGAAAAGGAAUCAUUGGAGAUGAACUUAAUAAACUGAGGUUUCAGUUCGAAGUGUGUUGCAGUAAUUAUAGGUCUAAGAAUGCUAGACAUCGCACCGGUAGUUGCAUCUGAUACACCAUACUCCCAAAGAGGUUUAGCUACCGGUGGUUCAGCCAUUGUUUCCUUUGCUUGUUCUUAUUCCUUCUCCUUUUACUUCCUUGCUUACGUACAGUAGCCUCGAUCUCAAGAUCAAUAGGGAUUAAAUCUCUUGAACCUGUUUGUCGAGUUUGCAUGCAAUAAGAAAGAAAACUAGAAACAAAAGAUCAGGAGCACAAGGAAUAAUAGCUGAAGCACUUAAACCUAAAGCUUAGCAAAAAUAAAUCAAAAUUAACUACUUUAAUAACGUCAGUCCCCUGCAACGGCGCCAAAAUUUGACAAGGUUGUACUAGACCUUCUAACUAUGUAGUCGGGCAAGUAAGGGUCAAAUCCCUAGAGACUGAAAUAGUAAAAACUAGCUAAUCUUGACUUUAAUUAAUGCUAAGUAAGUUACCAAAUCAACGAUUAAAGAUGAAUUAAUCUAUAAUGCAAAUAAUAAUAAUGAGAAUAAAUUCUAGGAUAAAAAGCACCUAGAGUUAAGUAUCCCCACUAGCACAAUUUACGCAAAGAUAAGUUCCUACCCCAAACUAAUUAAAUAAAUGUCCAUAAGGAAAGGUAAACCCUAUAAAAUACCAUAGAUCUCUCCCGAGUAUAAAUGGCUUCCUUAAUAUGCAAUCAAAACCUACUCCCGUGGAAUCAUGCAAAUUAAAGACAUUAAACUCAAUACUCUGACUUCCUAACAAUCCAUUAUACCUACUCCCGUGGAGAAUUUCAUAUCCUUAAUUGAAAUAUUCAAAUCCGUC